UACGUAGGCAGCGAGCGUUGUUCGGAGUUACUGGGCGUAAAGAGUGCGUAGGCGGUUUUCUAAGUUUGGUGUGAAAUCUCCCGGCUCAACUGGGAGGGUGCGCCGAAGACUGGAAGGCUAGAGUGUGGGAGAGGUAAGCGGAAUUCCUGGUGUAGCGGUGAAAUGCGUAGAUAUCAGGAGGAACACCUGCGGUGUAGACGGCUUACUGGACCAUAACUGACGCUGAGGCACGAAAGCGUGGGGAGCAAACAGG
RNAcentral lists this ribosomal RNA (253 nucleotides) under uncultured bacterium. RNAcentral describes it as "partial 16S ribosomal RNA". It matches the Rfam family "Bacterial small subunit ribosomal RNA", at positions 524 to 776 of the family's 1533-position model. The record is from RNAcentral.